Heligmosomoides polygyrus is the source of this 75-nucleotide non-coding RNA. Lineage: Eukaryota; Metazoa; Nematoda; Chromadorea; Rhabditida; Heligmosomidae. The record is from Rfam.
GCGCCGGUGGUGUAAUGGCGUAAAGCAUUCCCGCCCGGUUAGAGGGAGGUGCUGGUUCGAGUCCCGCCUGGCGCU